AACGAACGCUGGCGGCAUGCCUAACACAUGCAAGUCGAACGAGACCUUCGGGUCUAGUGGCGCACGGGUGCGUAACGCGUGGGAACCUGCCUUUAGGUUCGGAAUAACUCAGAGAAAUUUGAGCUAAUACCGGAUAAUGUCUUCGGACCAAAGAUUUAUCGCCUUUAGAUGGGCCCGCGUAAGAUUAGCUAGUUGGUGGGUAAAGGCCUACCAAGGCGACGAUCUUUAGCUGGUCUGAGAGGAUGAUCAGCCACACUGGGACUGAGACACGGCCCAGACUCCUACGGGAGGCAGCAGUGGGGAAUAUUGGACAAUGGGCGAAAGCCUGAUCCAGCAAUGCCGCGUGAGUGAUGAAGGCCUUAGGGGUUGUAAAGCUCUUUUACCCGAGAUGAUAAUGACAGUAUCGGGAGAAUAAGCUCCGGCUAACUCCGUGCCAGCAGCCGCGGUAAU
Molecule: ribosomal RNA, 450 nt
Filed under: uncultured bacterium
Lineage: Bacteria
Description: bacterial SSU rRNA
Rfam family: Bacterial small subunit ribosomal RNA
Source: RNAcentral